Molecule: ribosomal RNA, 1018 nt
Filed under: uncultured bacterium
Lineage: Bacteria
Description: bacterial SSU rRNA
Rfam family: Bacterial small subunit ribosomal RNA
Source: RNAcentral
AACGUGACGUACUUAAGAUAGCAUUCGCUACUCGUGCAGCAGCGCGGUAUACGAGAUGCAGCGUAUCGAAUCMAUGGCGUAAAGCGUCCGCAGGUGGCUAUCAGUCUGCUGUAAAGGCAGAAGCUCAACUUCUGAUAGGCAGUGGAAACUGGUUAACUAGAGUAUGGUAGGGGUUGAGGGAAUUCCCAGUGUAGCGGUGAAAUGCGUAGAUAUUGGGAAGAACACCAGUGGCGAAGGCGCUCAACUGGGCCAUAACCGACACUCAGGGACGAAAGCUAGGGUAGCGAAAGGGAUUAGAUACCCCUGUAGUCCUAGCUGUAAACGAUGAACACUAGGCGUUGCUUGUAUCGACCCGAGCAGUGCCGUAGCCAACGCGUUAAGUGUUCCGCCUGGGGAGUACGCACGCAAGUGUGAAACUCAAAGGAAUUGACGGGGGCCCGCACAAGCGGUGGAGUAUGUGGUUUAAUUCGAUGCAACGCGAAGAACCUUACCAGGACUUGACAUCUCGAGAACCUUGCCUAAUAGCAGGGGUGCCUUAGGGAACUCGAAGACAGGUGGUGCAUGGCUGUCGUCAGCUCGUGUCGUGAGAUGUUGGGUUAAGUCCCGCAACGAGCGCAACCCUCGUUCUUAGUUGCCAGCAUUAAGUUGGGCACUUUAGGAAGACUGCCGGUGACAAACCGGAGGAAGGUGGGGAUGACGUCAAGUCAGCAUGCCCCUUACGUUCUGGGCUACACACGUACUACAAUGGUUGGGACAAAGGGCAGCGAACGAGUAAUCGCCAGCGAAUCUCAUCAAACCCAGCCUCAGUUCAGAUUGCAGGCUGCAACUCGCCUGCAUGAAGGAGGAAUCGCUAGUAAUCGCAGGUCAGCAUACUGCGGUGAAUUCGUUCCCGGGCCUUGUACACACCGCCCGUCACACCAUGGAAGUUGGCCACGCCCGAAGUCGUUACCCUAACCGCUUGCGGAGGGGGAUGCCGAAGGCAGGGCUGGUGACUAGGGUGAAGUCGUAACAAGGUAAC